Molecule: ribosomal RNA, 568 nt
Filed under: Escherichia coli
Lineage: Bacteria; Pseudomonadati; Pseudomonadota; Gammaproteobacteria; Enterobacterales; Enterobacteriaceae
Description: partial 23S ribosomal RNA
Rfam family: Bacterial large subunit ribosomal RNA
Source: RNAcentral
ACGGGGAGGAGCCCAGAGCCUGAAUCAGUGUGUGUGUUAGUGGAAGCGUCUGGAAAGGCGUGCGAUACAGGGUGACAGCCCCGUACACAAAAAUGCACAUACUGUGAGCUCGAUGAGUAGGGCGGGACACGUGGUAUCCUGUCUGAAUAUGGGGGGACCAUCCUCCAAGGCUAAAUACUCCUGACUGACCGAUAGUGAACCAGUACCGUGAGGGAAAGGCGAAAAGAACCCCGGCGAGGGGAGUGAAAAAGAACCUGAAACCGUGUACGUACAAGCAGUGGGAGCCUCUUUAUGGGGUGACUGCGUACCUUUUGUAUAAUGGGUCAGCGACUUAUAUUCUGUAGCAAGGUUAACCGAAUAGGGGAGCCGAAGGGAAACCGAGUCUUAACUGGGCGUUAAGUUGCAGGGUAUAGACCCGAAACCCGGUGAUCUAGCCAUGGGCAGGUUGAAGGUUGGGUAACACUAACUGGAGGACCGAACCGACUAAUGUUGAAAAAUUAGCGGAUGACUUGUGGCUGGGGGUGAAAGGCCAAUCAAACCGGGAGAUAGCUGGUUCUCCCCGAAAGCU